AAAUAUCGACCUCUCUAGCUUUCAAUUACAACUUAACAUUAGAAAUUGGCUUUAGUCACCACAUCUUUUCUGUCACUAAUCCUUUGUUUUUCGGUAGUUCCGUCAUUCAUCCUUUCAAAACUUGCUCCGACUUCGAAUUUCUUACAUAUAUCAAUGGGAAAUAGUGAAGCAAAACAGCAAGAACGUCGCAUGCAUUACGAAUUUCCGGCCUCUCAUCCUCCAAACACUUCACUUCCGAGCCAUGAUCAUACUCGCUAUACGAAUAGUAGCCAGGUCAAACUAACUAAUGCGUCUGGAGCUGAAGCUGGGCAGAUUGGAACGGCACAAGUGCACAAGGAAGAGAUGAAUUUGGAAGACAAUGAUGCAUUUUCUGACUACAUUAACCGCACGAAAUUUAAGAUCAGAGCUACGACCUCCAAUAUUGAUCCCGAGAAUGUUGCAUCCACAGCAGAUGGUGUUUAUGAAACAGAGCAAGAAGAUAAUGAGUAUGAAAUGUUUACGGAUUUUGUCAACCACUCUAAGUUUAAGAUUAGAAAGACAUCCAGCAUCGGAAGUAGAAACAACAUCUCCUUUAAGAAGUAGGAGACUGAAAUUCUGCAACCAUAUGUGUUCUGGUGAUUGCCGGCAUAUUUAUGGAUUGUGUUCUCCCUCUUUAAUUCUUUUAUCAUAUUUACGUCCUGGAUACACAGGUUAUGUAAUGUUGUUGAAUAGUCCUCUAUGUAUUUCUCAGUCAAUGAUAUCGAAUCAUUCUUUUUCAUGUGUUUCUAGAGCCCAUUUGCUAAAAGUGUGACUUAUAUGCAUUGCAGCAAGCUUCCUUGACAAUUGGAAUCUGUUUCUUUACCUCUUCGAAAGGCGAUAGUUUAAAAGGCGAGACUCCUUUGCAUAGCUAGCUAAGCAAAGAUAGAUGUUUGGAAAAAGCUCAACCAUGAAGUGCUUCUGCAUCUCAAUUUUUGUACGCGCUAAUUGGACCGAGAUAAAACAAAACAAAUCCAACCUAUGUUACAUAUGCAGGGUUUAUUCAAUUCAGGCAAUAAAACAUCUAAAUAAUAUUCUAGUUGGUACGCACUUGCUGGAUCCCACUUUUAUGAAAAAAUUAUGGGCUAAGAAGCUGGGAAUAUGAUUCCCAUACAUCACUUCAAUUGAAGAAAUUUCUCCCUUAUGAGCAAUUUUUUGCUAUUCAGCCAUAGUGGGUUUCCCUUCAUUUCUGUGUGUAUCUUUCAGUUUUCGACCAAGGAUCGCAAGGACAUGCUCUCGAGAUUUCUCUUUACCUCAUCUCUUAAACUUAGUACAAGCUUGCUAUCAAUUUAAUUUCUAACAUAAUAAUGGGAAAGAGUUAUAGCAUAGCAGAUGCUGGAGCACCGCAGCAUUUGUUGGUUGGUUGGAUAGUACAGAGACCUUGACAAUGCUUUGUGGUUGGUUUGCAGAUUUUCAUGGCAGAUGCUGGAGCACCGCAGCCGACACCGUGAAUUGGUCAAUGACAGACUAGUUUCUUUAGGGCAGUUGUAUCGUUAUACUGUGGGUUCACUUUUGAAACUUUGACUUUGAACUAGUAAAUGUCAGAUUUUCGGUAGGCUGGUUAACCGUAGGGUUUCUGAAUUCGUGUUGUUCUUAAUUAAUGGAUAUGCUCUUAUUAGUAGCUUGGCACAUUGUGUUCAUGUUGAUGCAUUCAGGAGGAGCCGUUACAGCACAUAGCAACUAGCAUGGAAGAAAAAGUACAAAAAUGAAUGCGACUGGAAAAUGACAAUAAAAUAUGUUUUAUGUUGAAAUACGAUGACUUUUAGCAAUUUUUGUUAAAAUGCGAAUUUUUACCACUUAUUGAGUCUAUAUAGCAUUUUUUUUAAUACAAAAUUUUAAAGUUGAAGGAUAAAAGAAUCGAUACGAAAAUUCUAGCAAGUCAUAAAACAUCUUUGCAAAAUGUGGAGAAUGAUUACCUUUCUACACAGCAUAUAGUGAGUGAGGAACGUACAAGAGAAAUGCAAGAGGAGAAGGUAGCUCACAUUCCUCGUAAUGUCUUGAAUGAAUUUUAAAAAGUUUAGUGACACAAAAAUACCACAAAAAUUACAAAAUAAGUUUAGUUUUCCUAAUUAAAUCACAAUAUGGUGUAUGCAGAACUUCGCUAAACUGAUUAAAAACACUCACUGAUUUUGAGAAAAAUUUAAUAAACCAUGAGAUUAAUGAAAUAACCUAGAAGUUUUUUUUUAUCGAAUAGACUUUCUAUCAUCUUGAACUUCUCCACAAAAAGACUGCUGUCGUAGAAUUUCGCAAAAUUGAUUAAAAACGGGAAUUAUUUUUUACAGAUUUUUUGUGCAAAUAUUUCUUACAAAUUUUGUGAAAGGUACAGAAGGACAUUAUAGUUUUGGCAGCUUUUCAAGGAAAUGUUUUUAGUAAAAUCAAGUUGGAUUGCUUAUUUUCCUUGUGUUAUUUGGUAGAUGAAUGCAUUAAAUAGGUUGGUUGUUUCCCACCAGAAAUCCAUGAUGCUUGUUUUAGACUUUGAACUAUAAAAACAAUGGAUUAAAGGGAAAUUUUAUUUGAACCAUGUAACCUCUUUUUACACCCAACUUAAAUUUAAAUUAUUAAUUGUCUAUUUUACCCUUUUGCAUAAUUACUAUUAAGUACAAAAUGAAAUUAAUAAUAAAACUCAAAUUUAUCAAUAAACCCAUUAAACCCUUCCAUCAGUUCUUGUUUAUCAUACGUUCAUUCUAGCUAAAACCCUAAUAGGUCUUGUAGAGAAAAACAAGUUUUUUUUUAUUGAUGGAUGGUGAUUUUGUAGUUUUGAAUCCUCCAACUAAGGUAUGACUCAAUUUAUGAAUAUUUUGUUUGUUUGAUUUCAAUUUUUUUAAAGUUUAGAAGAUGAGUAUUUGGGUUUCAAUUUUUUCAUCAAUCCCGAAUGGUUUGUUAAACUUUUUGCAAUUGGAAAAUUCUAAGAAAAACUUCUUACUAAUGUUCUUAGAUUAUAAACUUCCUUACUUGUUGAUAAAUAGAAGGGGAUGAAUUGUUUGAUUUGUUGCUUAUGCACAUUAGUAGAAAGAAAAAAGGCAAAUAUCUGGCUUUGGUAGCAGAAAGAAAAAAAAAAAGUAGUCAUGGAAAUGCUAGUGGGAAGAGGGGGUGGGGCAAGGACACCUUUUUAAAAAUAAAAAAUAAAAACAAUUCAAUUACAGAUGUUAUUUUAUAAAGGAAAUGGGUGUAAAGAUAACUUAACAUUUUGAAUUGGGUUUGAUAGGGUAGUUUAGGUAAUAAAUUUGGGUUUAAAGAGAGAUUAAUUCUUCAAUAAAAAACAAUAUGGGUGAAGAGAGUAAAUUGGGUGUGGAAAGAGGUUACAUGGGUUCAAAUAAAAUUUCCCUUAUUAUAUUAGCAUAUUCAUAAUUAUUUUUAAAGGUCGCCAAUUUGGAAGAGCUAGGGUUUCUGUAUGUGCCAAAGUUUCAUUCUUACCAUACUAUAUUCUCUAUGCUUUUUACCUAAACUUUUCGUUGCUUUUGGAAGCUAAUUAAUUAAUUAUGCUUUGAUAUAAUGUUAAUAUAUAGCAUAAUCCCUUCAAAUGCUAGUUGUUUAGUGCUGUGUAUAUAAGUUGUGUUUAAAGCAGGAUUUUAAUUUCAAAACCAAGGACAAUUGGAGCUGAAAUAUCGUGAGAAUAUUUUCCAAACAUCUCAUCCUUUAGAAAGAAAAAAAAUAAUGAGAAAGAAGUUCUUCCUUCAUUAGGAAUCUAAACCAAACUUCUCCCUUUAUUUAUGCAGAAAAAUCAAUUACUAAUUUCCACACAAGGAAUUUUCUCCUUAAAUUCUCAUUCAUGCAGACUAUAAAUAUCGACCACUCUAGCUUCAAUUACAACUUAACCUUAGAAAUUGUCUCUAGUCACCUAUUGGAAGCAACUUUGUGUCAAUCACAACUUUGUGUCAAUCAACUUUGUGUCAAUCACAACUUUGUGUCAAUCAACUUUGCGUCAACUUUGUGUCAAUCAACUUUGUGUCAACUCCUUAAUUCAAGGAGCUUGUCUUCCCUAAACCAUUUGGUCGGUUGUCUUCCCUAAGCCACCUUUGUGGUGUAAAUCAAGGGGUCAAUCUCCUUAUAUAUUGUUGUACAAUUGUAAUGAUAUUAUGAUGAAAAUACAAAACAUACUUUGAAAAUCAACAUGGUAUCAGAGCAGGAAAUCUAACCUGCCUCUGCUCUACUACUAUCUGAGGGUGUUCAAUCUUCAAAAUGACUGAAGACAAUUCGUUAGGAUCAGAAGUUGAAAGUUCACAUGUGAUUUCCUCCAUGACUGUGCAUGAGGUGGAUGUCAACCCAAAUCAAAGAUUAAGCUUAGUUGUGUUGAAUGAGUUUAAUUACUUGCCUUGGUCGAGAGCAGUGUCUCUGGCUCUAGGUGGAAGAUCCAAGUUAGUGUUCAUAAAUGGAAGCAUCAAAGUACCUGAUGCUUCCUCACCAACCUAUGAAUCCUGGCUUAGCAAGGAUCAUCUAGUUAUGUCAUGGCUCUUGAAUUCCAUGGAACGGAAAUUAGCUUAAAUAUUUAGUUACUCUGAAUCUUCAUACCAGCUAUGGGAGGCGGUCAAGGAAAUGUAUGGCAGCCAGAACAAUGUUGCAAGGGUUUUCCAAUUAAAGAAGGACAUCUCCGAUCUGCAACAAAACGGCAAGCUGUUUGUGCAACUCCUAGGAAGCAUGAAAAGCAUGUGGAAUGAGUUGGAAAUUUAUCGCCCUCAUACAACCGACGCAGCACUGCUACGAAAGAGAGCAGAAGAAGACAAGAUAUUUCAACUCUUAUCCAGUCUCGAUUCAACGUAUGAAGAUCUACAAUGUCACAUACUCAUGAACAAUGAACUUCCUUCCUUCACCAGUGUAUGUGCAACAAUCCAACGUGAAAAAGUAAGGAGGAAAGUUAAAAUCAUGGGUAUAAUGGCCAGUGUACCUGAGGCUAGGGCCUAUUUAACCAACAAGAGAAAGUACAAAGGAAAGCAUCUAAACUUGAAGUGUCAACACUGCAACAAUAUAGGUCAUGUUAAAGACACAUGCUGGAUUUUACACCCAGAAUUAAAGCCUGACUUCAUGAAGGACAACAAGGGUUUACAAAGGGUGAAUCGUACUACACCGCGCAAAUCAUGCGUCUGCCUCUAACUCUGAUAAAUUCAAGAACUUCACAGCGAAUCCAGCUGAACUCAUGAAUGAGUUUAUGUUUUACCUUUAAGGCAAGAAAGGAGGGGCUGGAAUUGACCGUGCAGACAACAUAGCAGAAGGGAACACGACGGCAUUGCUUGGCAAGUUUGCGGGUUUCUUGGCAGACACGAAACCCGUACCCCAAGAGAACAUGCAAGGUAUCAUGAAAGCCUUUAAAACUACUCUUAAAAUAAAUUUGUUGCAUGAUUUUUGGGUUUUAGAUUCGGGUGCCACAAAUCAUAUGACUAACCAUGUGUCUAAGUCUCAAAAGUUUGAAAAAUUCACUAAUCCUUCCCAAGUUUCAAUUGCAAAUGGUGAGAGUGUAAAGGUUUUAGGAAAGGAAAAAAUAAAAAUAAUGUCAGAUGAAAUUGAAUCAAUGGCUUUGUAUGUACCUUCCUUCCCAUUUCAACUUCUAUCUGUGGGAAAGAUUACAAAUACCUUGAAUUGCUUAGCUAUAUUUUCUCCUCACAAUGUCAUCUUUCAGGACUGUGCCACCAAGAAGACGAUUGGUGAAGGGUUUUAUUUAGAAGGUCUCUAUUACAUAUCAAAAGCAAUCCCAGAGGGUUCCAAGCCAAGUUCAAUCCCAUUCAAGAUAAUCAAUUGUGGCAUCAACGUUUAGCUCACCCUUCUCCACCCAUUUUGUCAACUUUAUUUCCAAACUUAGGGAAUGAUGCUAUUUCAUGUGAAACAUGCCACUUGUCUAAGGCCACUAGAUUAUCUUUUAACUCUUCCUUGUCCAGGGCUAGUAAGUGUUUUGAACUAGUUCAUUCAAAUGUAUGGGGACCAACUAGUGAAUCUUUUGAUGGUUAUAAGUAUUUUGUGAUCUUUGUUGAUGAUUUCUCUCGAGUCACAUGGUUGUAUCUUCUAAAGUCUAAGAAUGAAGUUAUGGAAGUAUUUAAGGACUUUCAUAACCUUGUUAAAAACCAUUUCUCCUCUCAAAUUCAAACAUUAAGGUCUGACAAUGGCACCAAAUAUAUGUCCCAUAUCAUGAAACAAUAUUUAAGCACUCAUGGCAUCAUGCAUCAAACAAGUUGUGUUGGCACACCUCAACCAAAUGGUGUAGCCGAACGCAAAAACCGUGACUUACUUGAAAAAACAAGAGCACUAAUGCUACAAAUGAAUAUACCAAAGAAAUUUUGGUCCCAAGGGGUUAUGGCAUUUGCUUAUAUCAUCAAUAGAUUACCCAGUCGAGUCUUGGAUUUCAAGUCUCCCCUAGAGGUCAUGAAAGGAAGUAAAAUUGAUCUCUUACACCUUCGAGUUUUUGGCUGCAUCUGUUUUGUGCAUAUUCAAUCUCAUCACCGAGAUAAAUUGGAUCCUAGAGUUGUUAAAUAUAAUUUUCUUGGUUAUUCAUCUACACAAAAGGGAUAUAAGUGUUAUAAUCCUCAACUAAGAAGAUUGAUUGUGUCCAAAGAUGUUCGAUUCCAUGAAACUAAUCCUUUUUUCAGCAAGUCACAUGAAAUCACAAGUCAAGCGGAUGACAUCUUGGAUAUGUUCUCACUACCAAGAAUCGAACUUGAGGCUCCUCAACAACAAGAUCCCAGUCAUGUCAACAUUGAUGCAUAUCUCAAUGAAAGUAGCAAUGAAGGGUCUCACUCUAAUGGUACACGGCAUGAAGAUGGUGAUAAUUAAGAUGACCCUCACAAUACGGUCCAAAAUGUGAACGAGUGUGAGACAACUCUUCCUGCUCCUCGACGCAAUCCAAUGCGUGUUAGGAAAACUCCCACAAGACUUCAAGACUUUGUCAUCUACAAACCCACACAUCCCAUCUCCCAAUAUGUGUCGUACAAGAGAGUGACACCAGCCCAUGCUGCAUUCCUAAACACCAUAUCAAGUUACAAGGAGCCUCAUAUUUUCCAUGAGGCCAACAACCAAGAGGUUUGGAAGGAAGCAAUGCAAGAAGAACUUAAAGCUCUAGAUCAACACAACACCUGGAGUAUCACCAAACUUCCCAUAGGCAAGAAAGUUGUGGGUUGCAAAUGGAUUUAUAAACUCAAAUUCAAGUCAGAUGGAUCAAUUGAAAGACAUAAAGCAAGAUUGGUAGCUCAGGGAUUCACUCAAACAUACGAGGUGGAUUACAAAGAAACGUUUGCACCUGUUGCCAAAAUGAACACCGUGAGAGUGCUAUUGUCCGUGGCAGUAAACAAAGGGUGGUCCAUGUACCAAAUGGAUGUGAAGAAUGCAUUCUUGCACGGAGAUCUCAAAGAAGAGGUCUAUAUGAAAUUGCCACCAGGGCAUCCUCAAAGCAAUGAACCGAAUUUGGUGUGCAAAUUGCACAAAUCCAUUUAUGGCCUGAAACAAUCUCCACGAGCAUUGUAUGCCAAACUAAGCUCAGUUCUCACUAGUGUUGGUUUCAUAAGCAGCAAUGCCGAUUCAUCACUAUUUGUUCGCACAUAAGCUGUGGGCAAAUUGGUUGUGCUGAUCUAUGUUGAUGAUCUGAUAAUUACGGGUGAUAAUGCUGACGAGAUCCUCAACCUCAAACAGUCCCUCAAACAAAGGUUUGCAAUUAAAGACCUUGGGAUAUUGAAGUACUUCCUUGGUAUAGAAGUGGUAACCUCGCACAAGGGGCUGUUUCUUAACCAAAGAAAGUAUGUCUUGGAUUUGCUCAAGGAAGCCAACAUGAGCGAUGCUAAACCGGCCAUUACUCCUCUCGACAGCAAGCAUAAACCUAGCUUGAAGGCCACGCCACUCACGGAUAUCAGCCAUUAUCAGCGAUUGGUGGGUAAGUUAAUCUACCUAACAAUCACUAGACCCGACAUCACAUAUUAUGUAAGUCUUGUGAGCCAAUUCAUGCACUCCCCGACUCUUGAGCAUUUGACCCUUGUUAAAAGGAUCUUACGCUACUUAAAAUGAUCGGUGGGUCGUGGAAUCCUUAUGUAGAAGAAUGACAACACACAAAUCAUGGGAUAUUGUGAUGUUGAUUGGGCGGGGAAUGCCAUCGAUCGCAAGUCCACAACUGGCUACUGUACUUUUGUCGGUGGAAACUUGGUCACAUGGAAAAGUAAAAAGCAAACUGUUAUAGCCAGGUUAAGUGCCGAAGCUGAGUAUCGUGCCAUGGCUUCAACUGCGUGUGAGUUGAUCUGGCUCAAGGGGCUUUUGUGCGAUUUAGGUGUUCCUACAACUCUUCCUAUGUCCUUAUUUUGUGACAAUCAGGCAGCCAUGCGUAUAGCAUCAAACCCAGUGUUUCAUGAGUGGACGAAACACAUUGAAGUUGACUGCCAUUACGUUCGAGAACAGGUGCAGUCGCAGGUGAUUCAGACACACUAUACAAGAAGCUUCGACCAACUGGCCGACAUCUUCACAAAGCCUUUGGCUUCUCAUCAGUUUCAGCGACUUCUGUCCAAGCUUGGAUCCAUAAACCUCCUGGAUCUAGCUUGAGGGGGCGUAUUGGAAGCAAUUUUGUGUCAAUCACAACUUUGUGUCAAUCAACUUUGUGUCAAUCAACCUUGUGUCAACUUUGUGUCAAUCAACUUUGUGUCAACUCCUUAAUUCAAGGAGCUUGUCUUCCCUAAACCAUUUGGUCGGUUGUCUUCCCUAAGCCACCUUUGUGGUGUAAAUCAAGAGGUCAAUCUCCUUAUAUAUUGUUGUACAAUUGUAAUGAUAUUAUGAUGAAAAUACAAAACAUACUUUGAAAAUCAAUAUCACCACAUCUUUUCCCUCACUAAUCUGUUGUUUUUCUGUGAACUCAUUUUCCAAAACUUGCUCCGUUUUCGAAUUUCUUACAAAUAUCAAUGGGAAAUAGUCAAGCAAAACAGCAAGAACGCCGCAAGCAUUACGAAUUUCCGGCCUCUCAUUCUCCAAACACUUCACUUCUGAGCCAUGAUCAUACUCGCUAUUCGAAUAGUAUCCAGGUCAAACUAACUAAUGUGUCUGGAGAUGAAGCUGUGCAGACUGGAACUGCACGAGUGCACAAGGGGGAGAUGAGAAUGGAAGGCAAUGAUGCAUUUUCUGACUACAUUAAUCGCACGAAAUUUAAG
Molecule: long non-coding RNA, 9116 nt
Filed under: Malus domestica (apple)
Lineage: Eukaryota; Viridiplantae; Streptophyta; Magnoliopsida; Rosales; Rosaceae
Description: long non-coding RNA (MDOM_LNC011679)
Source: RNAcentral